GACAGAGGUGCCGAGCGUUAGGCGGAAUCACUGGGCUUAAAGCGUGUGUAGGUGGAUGUCUAAGUACCUUGUGAAAUCCCACGGCUUAACCGUGGAACUGCUCGGUAUACUGGAUGUCUUGAGCCAGCUAGGGGCUACCGGAACAAAUGGUGGAGCGGUGAAAUGCGUAGAUAUCCGGAGGAACACCGGUGGCGAAGGCGGCUUCCUGGACCGACACUGACGCUCAGGUGCGAAAGCUAGGGGAGCGAACGGG
This 253-nucleotide ribosomal RNA is filed under the name uncultured bacterium. RNAcentral's name for it is "partial 16S ribosomal RNA". It matches the Rfam family "Bacterial small subunit ribosomal RNA", at positions 524 to 776 of the family's 1533-position model. The record is from RNAcentral.